UCAAGAAACUUCCACAAUGGGCGAAAGCCUGAUGGAGCGACGUCGCGUGAUGGACGAAGUGCUUCGGCACGUAAACAUCUUUUUAUGUGGGAUGAAAUUAUUGACAGUACCACAUGAAUAAGGGGCUCCUAACUCUGUGCCAGCAGGAGCGGUAAUACAGAGGCCCCAAGCGUUAUCCGGAAUCACUGGGCGUAAAGGGUGUCGAGGCGGUUGUAUUAGUCGUUCGUAAAAUCUACGAGCUUAACUUGUAGGCGGCGAACGAAACGGUACGACUUGAGGUUUGGAGAGGUGCGUGGAACUCACGGUGUAGGGGUGAAAUCCGUUGAUAUCGUGGGGAACACCAAAGGCGAAGGCAGCGCACUGGCCAAAAUCUGACGCUCACACACGAAAGCUAGGGUAGCGAAGAGGAUUAGAUACCCACGUAGUCCCUGAGCGGGCUGGCAAGGCGCAU
This 451-nucleotide ribosomal RNA is filed under the name uncultured bacterium. RNAcentral's name for it is "bacterial SSU rRNA". It matches the Rfam family "Bacterial small subunit ribosomal RNA", at positions 355 to 825 of the family's 1533-position model. The record is from RNAcentral.